UGACAAACCCGGAGGAAGGUGGGGAUGACGUCAAGUCCUCAUGGCCCUUAUGGUAGGGCGUUCACACGUCAUACAAUGGUCGGUACAGAGGGUUGCCAACCCGCGAGGGGGAGCUAAUCCCACAAAGCCGAUCGUAGUCCGGAUCGCAGUCUGCAACUCGACUGCGUGAAGUCGGAAUCGCUAGUAAUCGUGGAUCAGCAUGUCACGGUGAAUACGUUCCCGGGUCUU
Molecule: ribosomal RNA, 228 nt
Filed under: uncultured Rhodocyclaceae bacterium
Lineage: Bacteria; Pseudomonadati; Pseudomonadota; Betaproteobacteria; Rhodocyclales; Rhodocyclaceae
Description: partial 16S ribosomal RNA
Rfam family: Bacterial small subunit ribosomal RNA
Source: RNAcentral